UACGGGGGGAGCAAGCGUUGUUCGGAUUUACUGAGCGUAAAGGGCGCGUAGGCGGUCGUGACAAGUCACUUGUGAAAUCUCCGGGCUUAACUCGGAACGGUCAAGUGAUACUGUCGGACUAGAGUACAGAAGGGGCAACUGGAAUUCUCGGUGUAGCGGUGAAAUGCGUAGAUAUCGGGAGGAACACCUGCGGCGAAGGCGGGUUGCUGGGCUGAUACUGACGCUGAGGCGCGAAAGCCAGGGGAGCGAACGGG
RNAcentral lists this ribosomal RNA (254 nucleotides) under uncultured bacterium. Its description in RNAcentral is "partial 16S ribosomal RNA". It matches the Rfam family "Bacterial small subunit ribosomal RNA", at positions 524 to 776 of the family's 1533-position model. The record is from RNAcentral.